Molecule: transfer RNA, 72 nt
Filed under: Capra hircus (goat)
Lineage: Eukaryota; Metazoa; Chordata; Mammalia; Artiodactyla; Bovidae
Also listed under: 1 other name
Rfam family: tRNA
About the family: Transfer RNA (tRNA) molecules are approximately 80 nucleotides in length.
Source: Rfam by way of RNAcentral
UCCCUGGUGGUCCAGUAGCUGAGACACUGUCUCCCAAUGCAGGGGUCCCGGGUUCAAUCCCUGGUCAGGGAA